This 235-nucleotide long non-coding RNA is filed under the name Lathyrus oleraceus (garden pea). Its description in RNAcentral is "Pisum sativum (pea) long non-coding RNA (PSAT_LNC038036)". The record is from RNAcentral. Lineage: Eukaryota; Viridiplantae; Streptophyta; Magnoliopsida; Fabales; Fabaceae.
ACCAUGUUAGGUAAAACGUGACAGCAUCUACAGUACUUUGAGCAUGGUGCGGAUUUUUACUUACUUCGGAAUGCACAUGGAACUUACGCUAGUUGAUCUCUAAAUGUUGCGUCCGAUAUUUUCUUCAGCAGUAUCGAAUUCCUGGGAAGAUCCUUCACAACAAGUAAUGUUAAAUGGAGUGAUCAUUUCAUCCACUACCGUUAGUGGUAAUCACCUAAUCCAACAAUAAUACCAA